CCUGGUUGAUCCUGCCAGUAGUCAUAUGCUUGUCUCAAAGAUUAAGCCAUGCAUGUGUAAGUAUGAACUAUUUCAGACUGUGAAACUGCGAAUGGCUCAUUAAAUCAGUUAUAGUUUGUUUGAUAGUACGUGCUACUCGGAUAACCGUAGUAAUUCUAGAGCUAAUCGUUGCAACAAUCCCCGACUUCGGAAGGGAUGCAUUUAUUAGAUAAAAGGCUCGGCGUGGGCUUUGCCCAUUUGCUCCUAUGAUUCAUGAUAACUUUCGGACGGAUCACACGGCCCUCGUGCGGCGACGCAUCAUUCAAAUUUCUGCCCUAUCAACUUUCGAUGGUAGGAUAGGGGCCUACCAUGGUGGUGAAGGGUGACGGAGAAUUAGGGUUCGAUUAGGAGAGGAGCUCGAGAAACGGCUACCACAUCCAAGGAAGGCAGCGGCGGCAAUAAAUUACCCAUUCGACACGGGAGGUAGUCACAAUAAAUAACAAUACCGGGCUCUUGAGUCUGGUAAUUGGAAUGAGUACAAUCUAAAUCCCUUUAACGAGGAUCCAUUGGAGGACAAGUCCGGUGCCGGCGACGCUGUAAUUCCAGCUCAAUAGCGUAUAUUUAAGUUGUUGCAGUUAAAAAAGCUCGUAGUUGGACUUUGGGGCGGGGUCGGUCGGUCCGCCUCGGCGGUGUGCACCGGUCGUCCCCAUCCCCUCUGUCGGCGAUCGUGCCUGGCCAUAACUGGCGGGUCGGGUGCCUCCCGGCUAUUACUUUACUGAAGAAAUUAGAGUGCUCAAAGCAAGCCCAUGCUCUGGAUACAUUAGCAUGGGAUAACAUCACAGGAUUUCGGUCCUAUUGUGUUGGCCUUCGGGAUGAGUAAUGAUUAAGAGGGACGAUCAGGGGGGCAUUCGUAUUUCAUAGUCGAGGUGAAAUUCUUGGAUUUAUGAAAGACGAACCAUCUGAAAAGCAUUUGCCAAGGAUGUUUCCAUUAAUCAAGAACGAAAGUUGGGGGGGGCUCGAAGACAAUCGGAUACCGUCCUAGUCUCAACCAUAAACGAUGCCGACCGGGGGGAUGCGGAUGUUGCUCUUAGGACUCCGCCGGUACCUUAUGAGAAAUCAAAGUCUUUGGGUUCGGGGGGAGUAUGGUCGCAAGGCUGAAACUUAAAGGAAUUGAUGGAAGGGCACCACGGGGAGUGGAGCCUCGCGGCUUAAUUUGACUCAACACGGGAAACUUACCAGGUCCGGACAUAGCAAGGAUUGACAAACGAGAGCUCUUUCUUGAUUCUAUGGGUGGUGGUACAUGGCUGUUCUUAGUUGGUGGAGCGAUUUGUGCGGUUAAUUCCGAUAACUAACGAGACCCUCAGCCGCUAACUAGCUACUGCGGAGGCAUCCCUCAUGACCCGCCUUCUUAGAGGGACUAUGGCCGUUUAGGCCACGGAAGUUUGAGGCAAUAACAGGUCUGUGAUGCCCUUAGAUGUUACGGGCGCGCUGCGCUUAUGCGAUGUAUUCAACGAGUCUAUAGCCUUGGCCGACGGCGGGCCGGGUAAUCUUUGAAAAUUUCAUCAUGAUGGGGAUAGAUCAUUGCAAUUGUUGGUCUUCAACGAGGAAUUCCUAGUAAGCGCGAGUCAUCAUUUCGCGUUGACUACGUCCCUGCCCUUUGUACACACCGCCCGUCGCUCCUACCGAUUGAAUGGUCCGGUGAAGUGUUGGAUCGGGCGACGGGCGGUUCGUCGCCAGCGACGUCGCGGAGAAGUCCACUGAACCUUAUCAUUUAGAGGAAGGAGAAGUCGUAACAAGGUUUCCGUAGGUGAACCUACGGAAG
Molecule: ribosomal RNA, 1801 nt
Filed under: Musa schizocarpa
Lineage: Eukaryota; Viridiplantae; Streptophyta; Magnoliopsida; Zingiberales; Musaceae
Description: bacterial SSU rRNA
Rfam family: Eukaryotic small subunit ribosomal RNA
Source: RNAcentral